GAUGAACGCGGCGGCGUGCUUAACACAUGCAAGUCGAACGGGAUCCAUCGGGCUUUGCUUGGUGGUGAGAGUGGCGAACGGGUGAGUAAUGCGUGACCGACCUGCCCCAUGCACCGGAAUAGCUCCUGGAAACGGGUGGUAAUGCCGGAUGUUCCAGUUGAUCGCAUGGUCUUCUGGGAAAGCUUUCGCGGUAUGGGAUGGGGUCGCGUCCUAUCAGCCUGACGGCGGGGUAACGGCCCACCGUGGCUUCGACGGGUAGCCGGCCUGAGAGGGCGACCGGCCACAUUGGGACUGAGAUACGGCCCAGACUCCUACGGGAGGCAGCAGUGGGGAAUAUUGCACAAUGGGCGCAAGCCUGAUGCAGCGACGCCGCGUGAGGGAUGGAGGCCUUCGGGUUGUAAACCUCUUUUAUCGGGGAGCAAGCGUGAGUGAGUUACCCGUGAAUAAG
RNAcentral lists this ribosomal RNA (448 nucleotides) under Bifidobacterium longum. Its description in RNAcentral is "bacterial SSU rRNA". It matches the Rfam family "Bacterial small subunit ribosomal RNA", at positions 28 to 490 of the family's 1533-position model. The record is from RNAcentral. Lineage: Bacteria; Bacillati; Actinomycetota; Actinomycetes; Bifidobacteriales; Bifidobacteriaceae.